UAGUCGGAGGUGUGUCUCGGACGGUCGGUUCGCUGCUUGUCAGUGCUUAACUGGCCGGUCCGGACGUCCUGCCGGUGGGGAUGUCAAAAGUCCCCGUUAUCCUUCUUUGGUGCUCUUCACCGAGUGCCUUGGUGGGCCGGCACGUUUACUUUGAACAAAUUAGAGUGCUCAAAGCAGGCCGUUGGUCGCCUGAAUACUGUGUGCAUGGAAUAAUGGAAUAGGACCUCGGUUCCAUUUUGUUGGUUUUCAGAACUCGAGGUAAUGAUUAAUAGGGACGGACGGGGGCAUUCGUAUUGCGACGUUAGAGGUGAAAUUCUUGGAUCGUCGCAAGACGAACCGAUGCGAAAGCAUUUGCCAAGAACGUUUUCGUUGAUCAAGAACGAAAGUUAGAGGUUCGAAGGCGAUCAGAUACCGCCCUAGUUCUAACCAUAAACGAUGCCAGCUAGCCAUCCGCCGAAGUUCCUUCUAUGACUCGGCGGGCAGCUUCCGGGAAACCAAAGCUCUUGGGUUCCGGGGGAAGUAU
This 523-nucleotide ribosomal RNA is filed under the name Phylolestes ethelae. RNAcentral's name for it is "SSU rRNA". It matches the Rfam family "Eukaryotic small subunit ribosomal RNA", at positions 631 to 1126 of the family's 1831-position model. The record is from RNAcentral. Lineage: Eukaryota; Metazoa; Arthropoda; Insecta; Odonata; Synlestidae.